AUGGAUCAGCUGGCAGAUGGGAUGCAGCAGAUCAGACGGUGCCGUAUCAGUUGUGUUUAUGCUGCUUGUGAACAAAUGGUGUUACAGCCUGCAUGUUUAUCCCUUUUGAUCCAUACACAAUUGGAAAAAGGUGCAAUAAUCAAGACUUGCUCUUUUUUUUUUUUUCUUUUUUCCUCUUUCUUUCUCGUCUCUGUGGUAUUAACCCUGAUGGGAAUUGAUGACAGGAGAUGGACAGCAUGAGCCAGUUUCCUCAAUGCCAAACAUUUUGCAGCUUUGAAGGAGGUCUGGAAAUCUUGCUGCACCUGACAGGGAGAUGCCUGCCUUCCACCAAGUUGGACUGAACAUUUCUUAGUGGGAGUGUUGAUUGUUUUUGUGUUUUCCCAUGCCAAUGCUAUUUAGGGUGGACAUACAAUGAAUCCAGAAGAAAGAGCAUCAUAUUAUUAAGAAGAUGAAUGAUGAUAUCGAAUUAGCUGAAAAGUGAAUUAAGGAUUAAUAAUUCCUUUUGUUUGCUAUGGGCAAACAAUGACUCUUCUCUAAAUGAAAGAAUCCUAAUUAUUCUAGGUUUCAAGUUUUUCAGAUCUUUCUAUUUCUUGUGUUUUAGUGGUUAUCUGGUCACACUACCUUACAGGAGAAAGAAUGACUUUUCUCACUAGCAGCAAUGCAGCCCCUGUUUUGAAAUGAGAAGCAAGAACCUUCUUCUCUGCCAUGACAGCAAAAACAGUUAAUGAAUGAAGUGGAAGAGUAGGCAGUUCAUUCUGUAGUGCCUACAUUGGUUCUUUGAUGCUAAAAUUAGAUGCCAUAUUGUAUGUGGUCAGCAUUGUAGUUAUAAUCUUUAAUAGCAAUGAAAAUAGUUUAGCUUAAGAAAAGGCAAUAUGCUAUGCAUAAUUCAGUUGUCUUUAGGACAUAGGCAGGUUUGUGUAUGUUUCAGUUAGAUUUGUAGAAAGACACAUGUUUUCUCAUGCACCGUGUUGAACUUUUCAGUGCACUGUCCCAUGAAGGCACCAGCACCUGACUGACAAAACAUAGCAGUACAGCAGAGCCCCUGAGCUCAGACAUUGUAAUUGCUCAUCAAGGUAUUUCUCUGAAAUGUUUCAGGACUUUGGCAUCAAAGCACUCUGUGAUUAUAAGAAACUGAUGUCAACUUGCAGGCAUUCAAAUAAGUGUGUAUCGGACAACAUCCGGUGAAGGUACUGGAUGAGAUGCUACAAGAGGUCCAUUUAAUUGCCAGGAAUAUUCUGAA
RNAcentral lists this long non-coding RNA (1240 nucleotides) under Anser cygnoides (Swan goose). Its description in RNAcentral is "lncRNA (ENSACDG00005017597.1)". The record is from RNAcentral. Lineage: Eukaryota; Metazoa; Chordata; Aves; Anseriformes; Anatidae.